Molecule: unclassified non-coding RNA, 264 nt
Filed under: soil metagenome
Description: partial contains small subunit ribosomal RNA and internal transcribed spacer 1
Source: RNAcentral
UAUCCGUAGGUGAACCUGCGGAUGGAUCAUUAACACUCAUCCAAAAAAACAAAACACAACAAACCUUGACGCGAAACGUUCAAGUCUUUUUUGACCUGAACUUUAAACGAUAGCAUACUUUGUUGCUACUGUACAUUUUAAAAUUCUUCGGAAUUUGUUGUACUGAACCAAUGCAUUUUGGUCGAGGAGAGAGAAAUCUCUUCGCUUCCAAAUCAUUAAAAAUUAAAAAUUAUACAACUUUUGACGAUGGAUAUCUUGGCUCUG